RNAcentral lists this ribosomal RNA (513 nucleotides) under uncultured bacterium. RNAcentral's name for it is "partial 16S ribosomal RNA". It matches the Rfam family "Bacterial small subunit ribosomal RNA", at positions 28 to 523 of the family's 1533-position model. The record is from RNAcentral.
GACGAACGCUGGCGGCAUGCCUAAUACAUGCAAGUCGAGCGAACAGAUGAAGUGCUUGCACUUCUGACGUUAGCGGCGAACGGGUGAGUAACACGUAAGGAAUCUACCUAUAAGCGGGGGAUAACAUUCGGAAACGGGUGCUAAUACCGCAUAAUAUCUUCUUCCGCAUGGAAGAAGAUUGAAAGACGGCUCUGCUGUCACUUAUAGAUGACCUUGCGGUGCAUUAGUUAGUUGGUGGGGUAACGGCCUACCAAGACGAUGAUGCAUAGCCGACCAGAGAGGGUGAUCGGCCACAUUGGGACUGAGACACGGCCCAAACUCCUACGGGAGGCAGCAGGAGGGAAUCUUCCGCAAUGGGCGAAAGCCUGACGGAGCAAUGCCGCGUGAGUGAAGAAGGCCUUCGGGUCGUAAAACUCUGUUAUAAGAGAAGAACAAAUUGUAGAGUAACUGCUACAGUCUUGACGGUAUCUUAUCAGAAAGCCACGGCUAACUACGUGCCAGCCGCCGCGGUAA